Molecule: long non-coding RNA, 644 nt
Organism: Oncorhynchus keta (chum salmon)
Lineage: Eukaryota; Metazoa; Chordata; Actinopteri; Salmoniformes; Salmonidae
Exons: 3
Source: RefSeq, a predicted model, not a curated record
GAGGACACCACACAGACAGGGUGAAGGUGGGAGGACACCACACAGACAGGGGCAAGGUGAGAGGACACCACACAGACAGGGUGAAGGUGAGAGGACACCACACAGACAGGGUGAAGGUGAGAGGACACCACACAGACAGGGUGAAGGUGAGAGGACACCACACAGACAGGGUGAAGGUGAGAGGACACCACACAGACAGGGUGAAGGUGAGAGGACACCACACAGACAGGGUGAAGGUGAGAGGACACCACACAGACAGGGUGAAGGUGGGAGGACACCACACAGACAGGGUGAAGGUGGGAGGACACCACACAGACAGGGUGAAGGUGGGAGGACACCACACAGACAGGGGCAAGGUGAGAGGACACCACACAGACAGGGUGAAGGUGAGAGGACACCACACAGACAGGGUGAAGGUGGGAGGACACCACACAGACAGGGUGAAGGUGGGAGGACACCACACAGACAGGGUGAAGGUGGGAGGACACCACACAGACAGGGUGAAGGUGGGAGGACACCACACAGACAGGGUGAAGGUGGGAGGACACCACACAGACAGGGUGAAGGUGGGAGGACACCACACAGACAGGGUGAAGGUGGGAGGACACCACACAGACAGGGUGAAGGUGGGAGGACACCACACA